Long non-coding RNA from Sinocyclocheilus anshuiensis, 500 nucleotides. RefSeq lists it as uncharacterized. NCBI's taxonomy places the organism in Eukaryota, Metazoa, Chordata, Actinopteri, Cypriniformes, Cyprinidae. The transcript has 3 exons. The record is from RefSeq and is a predicted model, not a curated record.
CGCCCGAAUUCCGUAGCAUGCAUACGAUGGACACUUUACUAUCCCAUGAGGCCACGGGAGAGGAGGCGUCAUAUUCGAAAAUGGCGGAAGGCGGCGACGCGGCUCUUUUCAAGUGUGCUGUUGACACUGAACGUAGUAAAUCCUAACACUUCAAGCAAAGGUCUUACUGCCUUUUUAUGCUUGAUUUCUGUGCAUUUAUUGUGACAGAGCAGGGACUUGAGGGCAAAAUUUCUGCCGCUCAAGUCAAAAGAAAGUGGGAGAACCUAAAACAAAAAUAUAAAACCCGGGAUAUCCAACAAAGAUAUCGAGGAACUUCCCCUCGUGGUCGGUGAUGGCCUGCAGCUGAACAGAGUGGAACAGCUUCCUAUUACAAUAGCAUGGGGCAUCACUUGCUGGUGGCUUGAUCCGGAUGUGGCAUCCGUCUAUUGCACCAGCUACCAUGUGGAAAACUGGAGACCCAGCCAGCUGGGCAAAACCUGCCCCCACUGCCUCCAGGUCAU